Molecule: long non-coding RNA, 2477 nt
Filed under: Macaca mulatta (Rhesus monkey)
Lineage: Eukaryota; Metazoa; Chordata; Mammalia; Primates; Cercopithecidae
Description: lncRNA (ENSMMUG00000052653.1)
Source: RNAcentral
AGCCUCGGCCUGGGAGCCUAGCCGAGCGCGAGUUCGCUGCAAGCGGGAUCCGUUCUGCGCCCGGCUGGCCGGCAGCCUCCGCGGUAUUCCCGGCGCGGGCGCCUCCAGGGGCUCCCCUGCGGCUCCUGGGGGCAGGGGUACCCUGCUGCCCUCCAAGACUGAGGCUGGAUGUGGCAUCUGAUUGGGAAGUGGGAGAGAUGAAGGGAAGAGAGAAAGCCCCAGUGACCCCACUCCAAUUCUCGCGCUGUUCCCAAGGGAGAAGAAAAAAACUAUAUGGGCAAAUGGCCUGGACUCAGAGAUACCUCUUUUUCUCUGUCACCUUCCAAAUGCUGGACUUAGAAUGGGGGCUGGAAAAUCAAGAGGAAGAAGUCCUCCUGAUUGAACUUGGAUCCAGUCGUCGAGUUCCGCGGCCCAGGGGUUGAACUGAGCUGGCUGGUGGGCGCUUGGAGAUCCUGACGCUGAGGCUAGGGCAAGAAGGGCAUCCUAUCUGUGCCUUCUCCCCAGGCCGGGCACUACGUUGGACCCUCCCCUGCUUCUGUUCUUGGAGCAUAUCUGGGUGUGUGUGCACAGGCGGGAGAGCAAGCAAGAGAAAGAGACCUGCAAGGGGACGUUUGGGGCCGCAUGUCCGUGCACAUCUUCUUCUCCUGUUCAUCACACCAUCUCGCCAGGGAAGUUGAGCACUGGGGAGGAGGGUGAUGAGAGGCGAGAGCCAGCCAGAGUGCAGGGAAUGUGGGGGGAAGGGUCAGGAAACGGGAAAGUGGAGACUGGUGUGGAUGCCGGGAUUCACUAGAAGCGGAGUCACUCAGGGGGAUUUCUGUCCCAAAAGGGACCCGUGCACCCCCACCUAAUGUGAUCACAGUCACACAGGCCCAAGAGUCGUCAGCAUCUUUCUAAAAGGGCUAGAAUCCUGCUUCAAAACAGAAUUGAGCCAUGUAGGGUAGCUGAAGAACAAUGCAUAGAAAGAAGUCUGUGGUCUGGCCAGGGGAGCCACAUGGAGGGGUCCUUUGCUUCAGGCCCCAAUCCCGCCCAGCUCUGGACUUCUGAGCAGGUUCUAGGAAACUGGCUGAGUAGGGGAGAAGCCCAAUUAACCUUGUUCCCAGGGCAGGAUAAGAAUCAGGCCUUGGGAUAAGUGCCAAAUUCCUUUUCUCUGCAAUUGCCCCGCCAGGCCUUGCCCUAUGCCAUGAGUGCAGAUCAGACUUUUGCAGGUUAGGAUCUGGGAUAUGUGCCUUGCUCCACACUCCCUGCAAUAAGUGAGGGGGAAGGAAGAUGGGCCAACUCCUUUCUUCCAUGAAUAAGAGUGAUUCAGAGGUUUAUAAGAUGCUGAAGACAGGGACACAUACGGGGGAUGAAGGCCCCAGUCUGUGAUCUCACUCUAGAGAGGCGAUGUCGGGAGAAUUCCAGAGAAGGCAGUGAAAUUUUGAAAGAAUGCUGGUAAAAAUGUUCUGAAAACUGCUGGAGAAUUCCGGCGCGGCAUUGGAAAGGGCCCCCUGCUCCAUGUUCCCCUGGGUCAGGCACAUAGACCUCCCUCUGCAGCCGAAAGGAAAGACACUGGACGAGGGUCAGCACCCCAGAGUGAACAGCUCCUGGCCUUGGCGCCUCUGCUGACUGCCUUCCUGACCACGGGGAGGGUAUCCUUUCUACUGGGGGACAGAAAGGGUUUGAGGACAGACAUUUAGAAGAUGCAAUGAGCUCAAGCUCAGAGUAUAAUUGGAUCCACCCUUUGACAUGUAGGACUUCCUUCUUCAACAACCUUUCCCUUUCCUGCUUGUCAGGGAGAUAUUAUUUUGGGUUCUUGGACCCAAUCUUUAAAAGCCUUUGCACGCUUGACCUUAAUCCUCAACCCCAACACUACAAGCUCCAUUUCAGCCCUAAAACGAGCCACAGUGUUUGGAGAAAUAAUUUAAAUGAGCAGCAUCAGAAACAGCCUCCUUGGGGGACUCCUAAAUGUAUUCAGGCUUUAGGAUUGGAGUCUUUGGGGCUCAGAACCUUCUUCAAAUAUUCUAGGACUACAGCGUGCACUGAGCGCUGAGCAGGGGGAGUAGAAGGGGCUCUUUCAGGGAAGUCAGUUAAGAGCUGCCCCUGCCUCUGAGGUUCAGAGAAAAAAGAAUUGUGAGGCCGCGUUAUCUGAGCAGGAGAUACUCAUCCAGUGCCUUUCCUCCCUUCUAAGCCCUUAGGGUUCCCUCUGUUCAGAACUGUACCAGGCAGGAAGAAAUCAGCCCAGAUUUGGAUGGGGUGGGCACCUGCUGCCCUGUCCCAGGGGAGAACAUGGUUAGGUUCCUCUCUACUGGGUGGGCACUCAGACUCAGCCACCUCAUAGACCUCUGGGGGUGUUCCUCCAACCUUGUCGACACCCCUAAAAAUGUCAACAUUCCUGAGACCAAAAUGGCUGAUUCCCCUGAGUCCACCCAAACACAACUUUAAGAUGAAAAAGGGGCCUCCCGCAUUAAUAUUUCAUCUUCAUGACCUUAUAAUUUUUU